RNAcentral lists this ribosomal RNA (22 nucleotides) under Nerium oleander (common oleander). Lineage: Eukaryota; Viridiplantae; Streptophyta; Magnoliopsida; Gentianales; Apocynaceae. The record is from RNAcentral.
CCACCCCGUCUCCACUGGAUCU